This 654-nucleotide ribosomal RNA is filed under the name uncultured archaeon. Its description in RNAcentral is "bacterial SSU rRNA". It matches the Rfam family "Archaeal small subunit ribosomal RNA", at positions 223 to 879 of the family's 1478-position model. The record is from RNAcentral.
GAUCAGGCCGUUGGCGAGGUAACGGCUCACCAAACCUUUGACCGGUACGGGCCAUGAGAGUGGUAGCCCGGAGAUGGACACUGAGAUAGGGGUCCAGGCCCUACGGGGCGCAGCAGGCGCGAAAACUCCACACUGUACGUAAGUACGAUGGGGUUACCUCGAGUGUAGUCUGUAAAAGAUUGCUUUUCCAUAGAGUAAUAUCCUGUGGGAAUAAGAGGGGGGCAAGACUGGUGUCAGCCGCCGCGGUAACACCAGCCCCUCGAGUGGUAGGGACUUUUAUUUGGCCUAAAGCGUUCGUAGCCGUCUGUAACCGUUGCCCGUUAAAUCCAGCGUCUCAAGCGUUGGACUGCGGGCGAUACCUUACAGAUUGAGGGUGGGAUAGGUAAGCGGUAUUUCUGGGGUAGGGGCGAAAUCCUUUGAUCCCAGGAGGACCACCAGUGGCGAAGGCUGCUUACUAGAACACGCCUGACGGUCAGGAACGAAAGCUGGGGUAGCGAACCGGAUUAGAUACCCGGGUAGUCCCAGCUGUAAACGAUGCGCGCUAGGUGUUGGGUCGGCCAUGCGCCGCCCCAGUGCCGCAGGGAAGCCGUUAAGCGCGCCGCCUGGGGAGUACGGCCGCAAGGCUGAAACUUAAAGGAAUUGGCGGGGGAGCAC